GCAAGUCGAGGGGCAGCAUGAGUACUUGUACUUGAUGGCGACCGGCGCACGGGUGCGUAACGCGUAUGCAACUUACCCUUUACUGGAGGAUAGCCCGGGGAAACUCGGAUUAAUACUCCAUAGUAUCACCAGAUGGCAUCUGAAGGUGAUUAAAGAUUUAUUGGUAAAGGAUGGGCAUGCGUAUCAUUAGUUAGUUGGUAAGGUAACGGCUUACCAAGACUUCGAUGAUUAGGGGGCCUGAGAGGGUGAUC
RNAcentral lists this ribosomal RNA (251 nucleotides) under uncultured bacterium. Its description in RNAcentral is "partial 16S ribosomal RNA". It matches the Rfam family "Bacterial small subunit ribosomal RNA", at positions 57 to 305 of the family's 1533-position model. The record is from RNAcentral.